AAAGCUUUAAGUUAAAAAAACUAAAAACCUUCAAAGUUUUAUAUACAAGUAAGUAAGCUUUG
RNAcentral lists this transfer RNA (62 nucleotides) under Scutopus robustus. RNAcentral describes it as "tRNA-Trp". The record is from RNAcentral. Lineage: Eukaryota; Metazoa; Mollusca; Caudofoveata; Limifossorida; Scutopodidae.